AAAUUAUAUAAAAUCUUAGAUUUUAAAAUUUUAAAUAUAUCACUUCCUGAUACAUAACUAAUACACAUGAGAAAAUUUAGGAAAUUUUCUUGAGUCAUCUUCUUCAUUGACUGAUAAAACACCAUCAAUGGAGACCUACGUUCUUCUUUAUUGACCAACAAAACUAUCUCCUCCACAUGCCCACUUAAACAACAACCACCAUUAAUAAUGUCCAACUCCGGCCAGCAACACACCGAUAACAUCCUCCAUUCCAAUUAUAUAGGGCAUGCACUCCCACCACCAUGAGCGAAUCACCACAAAGCCACCUCACAGCCCUCCUCUGCGAUUCCGGUGAAAUACCAUUGGAAGAUGGCCCCAAUCGCUAAACACACCACAAAAAUCGUCGGAAGAUAGCCUCAAUCGCCAAACACACCACAACAGUAACACAUAUCUCAUUUGAUACAUAAUCUUAUGUAACAUUAAGACACAGAGAAAAAAAAAUCGAUACGUCUUUUGUUAUAUUUUCAUUCAGAUACAUCAUUCUUAUGUAUCUGUAGAUGAAAAUUAAAUUAUUAAUCAGUAACACAAAAGAGAAUUUGAAACAUAUUUUUUAUCAAAUUUUCAAUUAUAUACAUCAUUCUUAUGUAUUCAGUACGAUACCUGAAAUUUGUACUUUGUUAGCCAGUUUUGUGAUGUAUCUUCGUGGUCUAUACCUCACGAAACCUGCAACACACUAUUCUUCUUCACCUCCAUUGAUUUUUCCAAGUAGCAAUUUUGUGGAGAUAUACUAAAUACACUUUGUGGGAGUCCGCGAUCGAGUUCGAUUUCGUUUGAAAAAUUAAGGAAUGAAGGGUGUGUUUGGUUUGAUGAAAAAUAUUUUUCAUGGAAAAUGUUUUCUUGAAAAAUGUAUUCUUGAAAAAUAAAUUGAUUUUCUACUUAUUUUCUCAUGUUUGAUUGGUGAAUGAAAAAUAUUUUUCGAAAAAUAUUUUAUGAUGUUUGAUUAGUGAGUAAAGAAUAUUUUUUAGAAA
This 1007-nucleotide long non-coding RNA is filed under the name Capsicum annuum. RNAcentral describes it as "long non-coding RNA (CANN_LNC000504)". Lineage: Eukaryota; Viridiplantae; Streptophyta; Magnoliopsida; Solanales; Solanaceae. The record is from RNAcentral.